Molecule: long non-coding RNA, 152 nt
Organism: Sinocyclocheilus anshuiensis
Lineage: Eukaryota; Metazoa; Chordata; Actinopteri; Cypriniformes; Cyprinidae
Exons: 3
Source: RefSeq, a predicted model, not a curated record
CAACAGGAAACCUGUGAUCUAUGUUCACUUUCACUGAAAGCAGGUGAAUUGGUUUCAGCAACUACUGAGGCAGAAAGGAGUAACAGUGUCAGGGCUGCUGGGGACACCAUGGUAAAUGGUCAGGCCUAUUGGCUCACUGGCGUUCAGUGUAA